This 467-nucleotide ribosomal RNA is filed under the name uncultured bacterium. RNAcentral's name for it is "partial 16S ribosomal RNA". It matches the Rfam family "Bacterial small subunit ribosomal RNA", at positions 28 to 507 of the family's 1533-position model. The record is from RNAcentral.
GAUGAACGCUGGCGGCGCGCCUAACACAUGCAAGUCGAGCGAUUAAAGCACCUUCGGGUGUGUCUAACGUGGCGAACGGCUGAGUAACACGUGGGCAACCUGCCCCUUUCAUUGGGAUAGCCACGGGAAACCGUGGAUAAUACCUACUACUUCGUAUCUUCCGCAUGGAAGACCCGAGAAAGCUCCGGCGGAGAGGGUUGGGCCCGCAGCCUGUUGCUUUGUAGGUGGGGUAACGGCAUACCAAGGCAAUGAGGGGUAGCCGGGUUGAGCGAUCGGCCAGCCAGAUUGGGACUGAGAGACGGACCAGACGCGUACGGGAGGCAGCAGUGGGGAAGCUGGCAGAAUGGGCGAACGCCUGAGGUAGCGACGCCGCGUGCGGGAAGAUGGCCUUCGGGUGGUAAACCGCUGUCAGCAGAGACGAGGCGAAAGUGACGGUACCUGCAGAAGAAGCCCCGGCUAACUACGUG